This 387-nucleotide ribosomal RNA is filed under the name Cerastes vipera (Sahara sand viper). Its description in RNAcentral is "partial 16S ribosomal RNA". It matches the Rfam family "Bacterial large subunit ribosomal RNA", at positions 1998 to 2603 of the family's 2925-position model. The record is from RNAcentral. Lineage: Eukaryota; Metazoa; Chordata; Lepidosauria; Squamata; Viperidae.
GGCAAAAUGAGAGUCCAACUGUCUCUUAUAAUUAAUCAAUUAAACUGAUCUCUCAGUACAAAAGCUGAGAUACCCCCACAAGACCAGAAGACCCUGUGAAGCUUUAAUUACCCUAUUAAAUCUCAUAAUAGAUAAUUUCGGUUGGGGCGACCUUGGAACAAAAAAGAACUUCCAAAUAUAUGAUUCAAUCAUAAAAAGGCACACAAGCCAUUAUUAGACCCAGUAUACCUGAUAAAUGAACCAAGUUACUCCAGGGAUAACAGCGCUAUCUUCUUCAAGAGCCCAUAUCAAAAAGAAGGUUUACGACCUCGAUGUUGGAUCAGGACAUCCUAUUUAUGCAGCCGUUACUAAGGGUUCGUUUGUUCAACGAUUAACAGUCCUACGUGA